This 380-nucleotide ribosomal RNA is filed under the name uncultured eukaryote. RNAcentral's name for it is "partial 18S ribosomal RNA". It matches the Rfam family "Eukaryotic small subunit ribosomal RNA", at positions 592 to 976 of the family's 1831-position model. The record is from RNAcentral.
CAAUAGCGUAUAUUAAAGUUGUUGCAGUUAAAAAGCUCGUAGUUGGAUUUGUGGCGUACGGUGUGUUCCGGGCACUUGUUGUCUGAGUAACCUGCGGUUGCCAUCCUUGGGUGGAACCUGUGUGGCAUUAGGUUGUCGUGCAGGGGAUGCCCAUCAUUUACUGUGAAAAAAUUAGAGUGUUCAAAGCAGGCUUAUGCCGUUGAAUAUAUUAGCAUGGAAUAAUGAGAUAGGACUUUUUUGCUAUUUUGUUGGUUUGCGCAAGAAGGUAAUGAUUAAUAGGGACAGUUGGGGGUAUUCGUAUUCCAUUGUCAGAGGUGAAAUUCUUGGAUUUUUGGAAGACGAACUACUGCGAAAGCAUUUACCAAGGAUGUUUUCAUUAA